This is a long non-coding RNA of Cucurbita moschata (crookneck pumpkin), 688 nucleotides long. RefSeq lists it as uncharacterized. NCBI's taxonomy places the organism in Eukaryota, Viridiplantae, Streptophyta, Magnoliopsida, Cucurbitales, Cucurbitaceae. The record is from RefSeq and is a predicted model, not a curated record. The transcript has 2 exons.
ACCUUGAGGGAAAGUUCAAAGAGGACAAUAUUUGCUAGCGGUGGGCUUGGACGGUUACAAAAAUAGAAUUUAUACGGUCACACCCUCGCAAGGAAGACAAAGACAAGCUGAGUAAUACACUUUCUAGUUUCUAUUAAUGGUUCUCAUCUAUCAUGCCAAAUACUAAAUAUUGGGAAAUUUUGUUAGCAUAAUAAGAUGAUUCUUUCAAUUGCUUAAUGUUUUUUCACCACAUGCUACAUUUUGUUUCAUUCUUAUUACAAACUCUCAGCUCUUAUUCAGAUCACGAAACUGGAAAGAUACGAGAUGAUGCAAGUGCGAACGAGCUGAUGAUGAUCCGUGAUGAGAUGAUGAAUGCAACUAAAAGACUCGGCUGAACGAUGUCGUAAUCCUGGUAAGAUUAAAAAAUGAUCUCUGUGCUAACUUUUAAUGGCAGGGGUAGAGGUUCUUCGAGGUGUAUGGUGAUAUAAUUGUGUGCUACACUCCAUGAGAUUGGUAUUAGCCUUUUGCAGUUCCUUUAGCUUUUGCCUCAACUGAAACCUUGGUCGAGAGGGAAUUUCCCGUUUAGACUGAGAAUGAGGAAGGGAAUCAAGACUAUGUAACAUUUGAAUUUUUAAAAAUUACUUUCGUAGAACCUUGUGUGCGGGAAUCUCUGUCCUGGUUCUCAUAAAUAUAAAUUGAGAAUUUUUUA